AAGAACAUGAAGACUGCCUGCAAACCCACGUGUGCCCAGCUAAGUGCUAAUUCUCAAUAUGAUCAGGAUAUCCAUUGCAUGGCCCCAGGCUUCUGCAGGCAGCCAGCACUGCUGCAAUUAUUGAUCUCCCCUGGAGAGCCAAGGAAUGAAAUCACAGGAAAAUGGAGCUGUGUCUUGGGAUGGUUACUUCUAAGGUUGAGAAGCUCUGAAAGAAAUCCCAGUAUGUGGAUGGAAUUCUGCUCUAUAAAUGAAGUGGCUGCAUAGAACUAGACAAUCAGGAACUCACAGGGACAAAAGGAGUUACUGUAAAGAGGGCAGUAGAUUCUUCGUAACCUGUCUUCUACAAUUAUGUUCCAAGGUGGUUUAGCUAACUUUAUUCAAAUGGGUGAAGAAUGCAAUAUCAAAAUCUGAGGUAGUAAAUCGGCUUGUACAUGGACUGUGUGGGAAGAGAAGUUACUCCUGACAUUAAGUGGGAGAGGAUAAUUAUACAUAGCUUGGAACUUUGGCAUGAUGUAUCUUGAGGAUAAAUGUGCAAGUGGAGUCCUUGUCUACCAGUGCUGAGCAAGCAGCCUCUACCUGUGCAUCUUUUGGUUCAUUACGUACAGGAUGGCCUGUAUCUAACUUUUUUAAUGAUGUCUAGAUCUUGUAAUAUUCUUUUUUGCACAGGUUUUUUAUGGAUACUUUUGGUUGUGCAGUUAUUUCUACUUCCUCCUCCAAUCAGAGCACAUCUUCUUGUUUGUGCAUAGCCAACCAGGUUUAUAAGACUAGCGUUCUCAAGCAAGUAAUUAAUCAUUUCUCAUUACAGAAUUCAUACAUACUCAGCUUUUCACACAUGGGAAUAGCAAAUUAGAUCUUCCCUCAAUAAAAUGAAAAAUUCACACUCUUCAUAUGAAAUCACUGUCAGUGUAUAAUUAUGUUUAAAUAUAAAUUACAUGGAAUAAUUUUAUAUAUAGAAGAAAACUCAAACCAAAUCAAACAGAUCAGUGAAUCCUUUACUUUUUUUCAAGCACAAGUCCUUUAUAUUUCUGGAGGAAGCCAUACUGCCAACCUGUUGCUGCACAUCAAGCUCCUCAGGACAUAAGACCCUGAAAGAGAUCAUUUCCAUCACUUUUCUGCUACCUGUGUAAUACAAAUGAAAUGGGUGCCCUGGGGCAGCUAAUGUGUUGUGGGGGGAGAUACAACUACAUGCGUAAGGACAGAGGUAAA
Pezoporus occidentalis (night parrot) is the source of this 1206-nucleotide long non-coding RNA. RefSeq lists it as uncharacterized. The transcript has 3 exons. The record is from RefSeq and is a predicted model, not a curated record. Lineage: Eukaryota; Metazoa; Chordata; Aves; Psittaciformes; Psittacidae.